AGCGAACGCUGGCGGCAGGCUUAACACAUGCAAGUCGAGCGGGCAUCCUUGUGGUGUCAGCGGCAGACGGGUGAGUAACGCGUGGGAACGUGCCCUUCGGUUCGGAAUAACUCAGGGAAACUUGCGCUAAUACCGGAUACGUGCGAGAGCAGAAAGGUUUAUCUGCCGAAGGAUCGGCCCGCGUCUGAUUAGCUAGUUGGUGAGGUUAUGGCUCACCAAGGCGACGAUCAGUAGCUGGUCUGAGAGGAUGGUCAGCCACACUGGGACUGAGACACGGCCCAGACUCCUACGGGAGGCAGCAGUGGGGAAUAUUGGACAGUGGGGGCAACCCUGAUCCAGCCAUGCCGCGUGAGUGAUGACGGCCGUAGGGUUGUAAAGCUCUUUUCUCCGGGACGAUAAUGACGGUACCGGAGGAAUAAGCCCCGGCUAACUUCGUG
Molecule: ribosomal RNA, 437 nt
Filed under: uncultured bacterium
Lineage: Bacteria
Description: partial 16S ribosomal RNA
Rfam family: Bacterial small subunit ribosomal RNA
Source: RNAcentral